AGUGAACGCUGGCGGUAGGCCUAACACAUGCAAGUCGAACGGCAGCACAGUAAGAGCUUGCUCUUACGGGUGGCGAGUGGCGGACGGGUGAGGAAUACAUCGGAAUCUACUUUUUCGUGGGGGAUAACGUAGGGAAACUUACGCUAAUACCGCAUACGACCUACGGGUGAAAGCAGGGGAUCUUCGGGCCUUGCGCGAUUGAAUGAGCCGAUGUCGGAUUAGCUAGUUGGCGGGGUAAAGGCCCACCAAGGCGACGAUCCGUAGCUGGUCUGAGAGGAUGAUCAGCCACACUGGAACUGAGACACGGUCCAGACUCCUACGGGAGGCAGCAGUGGGGAAUAUUGGACAAUGGGCGCAAGCCUGAUCCAGCCACACCGCGUGGGUGAAGAAGGCCUUCGGGUUGUAAAGCCCUUUUGUUGGGAAAGAAAAGCAGCAGGUUAAUACCCCGCUGUUCUGACGGUACCCAAAGAAUAAGCACCGGCUAACUUCGUG
This 492-nucleotide ribosomal RNA is filed under the name uncultured bacterium. Its description in RNAcentral is "partial 16S ribosomal RNA". It matches the Rfam family "Bacterial small subunit ribosomal RNA", at positions 29 to 507 of the family's 1533-position model. The record is from RNAcentral.